This 83-nucleotide transfer RNA is filed under the name Clostridiaceae bacterium. RNAcentral's name for it is "tRNA-Leu". It matches the Rfam family "tRNA". From Rfam's summary of the family: Transfer RNA (tRNA) molecules are approximately 80 nucleotides in length. Their secondary structure includes four short double-helical elements and three loops (D, anti-codon, and T loops). Further hydrogen bonds mediate the characteristic L-shaped molecular structure. tRNAs have two regions of fundamental functional importance: the anti-codon, which is responsible for specific mRNA codon recognition, and the 3' end, to which the tRNAs corresponding amino acid is attached (by aminoacyl-tRNA synthetases). tRNAs cope with the degeneracy of the genetic code in two manners: having more than one tRNA (with a specific anti-codon) for a particular amino acid; and 'wobble' base-pairing, i.e. permitting non-standard base-pairing at the 3rd anti-codon position. The record is from RNAcentral. RNAcentral also lists the same sequence under 3 other names. Lineage: Bacteria; Bacillati; Bacillota; Clostridia; Eubacteriales; Clostridiaceae.
GCGGAUAUGGUGGAAUUGGCAGACACGCUGGAUUUAGGUUCCAGUGGGAAACCGUGCAGGUUCGAGUCCUGUUAUCCGCACCA